AGAUGGGAACUCAGAAAGAGAGAGAGAGAAGCAGUGUGUGUUUCUCAUCAACUCCAUCAUUUUAAAUUCUCAAGUCUCUGCACCUCUCUGGUUCGUAGAGGCUUCUUUCUUCUACAUGGACACCCGCCAUGUCUUCCUGUUAGCGUGAAGAGACGAAGAGCAGCCUUGCCCAAACCUGUCCCACACUUCUCCAGCUUUAUACAAUCAUGGGAAAAGGUUUCUACAUCAGCAAGCACCUGGCCAUAGCAGCUGUACUGCUGGCUGCAGCAGCUUUAGCCACCAUCGUAGCGUUAUCUAUAGUUUACUCUAAAGAAAAGGCCAAAAAGUCACAUCAGGUCAGCGAUGGACCAACAUCACGCAUGCCUCCCACUACACCACUAUCUAAUGAGCCCUGGGACAAAUACAGACUCCCCAACACCCUGAAGCCUCAGUUUUACAAUAUAAGUCUGUGGCCGAGGCUCAGCAUAGACGCUAAGGGUAUGUACGUUUUCACCGGCAGUUCUGGAGUAGCUUUCACAUGUGAGAAAGAGACGGAUCUGAUCAUCAUUCACUGCCACAAGCUCAACCUGACUCUUUUUGAUGGACGCCACGCAAAGCUAACAGGCAUGCAGGGAGCAACGGCUCCAGCCAUCAAGAAAACUUGGUUCCAGUUGGAAACGCAAUACUUGGUGGUUCAGCUGAAGGGGAGGCUAAAGCCAGGAAAAGCCUACUGGCUUUAUACCGAGUUCAGAGGAGAGCUGACGGAUGACCUGCAGGGAUUCUACAGGAGCGAGUAUGAAGAGGACGGGGUAAAAAAAGUUGUCGCCAUAACACAGAUGCAAGCAACCUACGCCAGAAAGGCUUUCCCCUGCUUUGAUGAGCCAGCCAUGAAGGCCAUAUUCUACAUCACUCUUAUUCACGAGCCAGGAACCAUCGCACUGUCUAACAGCAGAGACGUGGGUGAGACAGACACUGAGACUGCAUCUAACACUGCAACUACAACCUCCUAAAAGGACUGGGUCAAAAAAAAUCUUAUUCAUACAUAUAUCUUCUUAGCCCAAAUGUAGCAACUGUUUGGGCCUCCUAAACACUGGGAAAAGUAUACGUUUCUUGAGAAAAUGUAGGGGUUCUUCAAUAUAAAUUAGAAAAUUACAGAACUAAACUCACAUGAGAACUUGUGAUGCCAUUGCGUAUAUCUCUAGAGAGGAGAAUACCCACUUGACAAUUUUGUAACACUUCACUUGGAUGGUCCAUUUUAUGGCCUUGUUGAUGCUCAACUGACAUUCAACUAACACUGAAUUGAAUGUCCAUUAAAUUUAACUUAACCCAUGUUGAAUGUAAAUGAUUAAAAAUAGAACCUAACCCUACACCUAAC
This 1354-nucleotide long non-coding RNA is filed under the name Astyanax mexicanus (Mexican tetra). RNAcentral describes it as "lncRNA (ENSAMXG00005003188.1)". Lineage: Eukaryota; Metazoa; Chordata; Actinopteri; Characiformes; Acestrorhamphidae. The record is from RNAcentral.